ACAUUUUUUUGGGAAGGUUCUUUCGAUGGUUUUUUUGUGUGUGGAAGUUCUUUCGAUGGUUGUUUUCUUUUGAUAAUCGUUGUUCUUUGUAUGGCCAGACAGUUUCCAGGUGGUUCACAUUUUUACAGGAGGCACAUGCUUUUGUUCAUCUUGCUUCUUGGUAAUACAUUUUGUUGUUGUUUUGGCAUGUACAAGAUGUGAAUUUAUUAGUGUUGCUUCAGAGUGAGUCUGGACCAUGCUGGUUCUAAUAAUGUGUUCUUUGAUGCUUCUGCGGGUUGUAUAUUUUUACAUGCUCAGUGUGGGUAAACACAUGGAGUUUUUCUAUCUCUCUUGACUUCUCACUUUAACUUUUCGGGACAUGAACAUUAAAGUUACCAUGGCUACCAUAAAAAGGCAUAUUAUGGCCUAAUAAACUCUUAGUUGCAUUGUAUAUAGUACUGAUGAUAUGCUUUCUAUCUGUCCUAAUGUAAUUCAGGAAAUUUCUUUGCAAGGAAAAAUAUUAUCUAUAGUUAAAAGAUACAAUUCUUAUUGUGGAGAUCAACAUGUUCUUGUUAUAUCAUUUUCUGAAGUAGCUACCUCUUGAAAUACAAAUGUAGUAGGGUCAAUAAAUUUUUGGAUGAGAAGUGUAUGUUUAGAGUUGCUAAAUAAGUUUACAUACCAUCGACUCUUCAUAAAUCAAGUGUAUUGUUCCUUGAUUUACUAGAAGAAAAUACAGUAUAUGUCAUGGAGUCAUCUUAUUGAGACUUUUCUUCCGCAGAUACUAUAGAUGCUUUGUGAGAGGAUGCUUCUACUGGAGACCAUGAUCCAGUCCAAUGAUUUAUCCGGCAAGGAGGUGAGCUCACAUGUAAACAUGUGUUUGUUUAAGACACUAAAAAAAACACCCAUCUUCUGAAAUGCUUUCCUCUAUUGUCGUAAUUGAAGGAAAAAUCUAAUGUAUUUCUAGAAUUUGUUAAUGUGAUCAGAAUUAUGAAUAGGAAGUAUAUUGUGUCAUUAUUAUAGAAUGGAGCUCUGAUUUUAAUAUACAAGGUAAGCUCAUGGAAAUGUAAAUAAUAAUUCAACAUUCAAAUUCUUCAUGCCAACCUGAAACUUGGAACACAACAGAAUUCAGUGAACUCACUCUAAACAAAUUUUGUGAUGGUGUCCGCAUUCACUGGUCGCACAAUGCAGGAGAAGCAUUGUUGGGGUCCUCAUUGUCACCAAGGGGAUGCAACCUACAUCAAUCGUGUAGAGAUCCACUGAUGUGUCCGUGCCCAUGUUGUGCUUCACCGAGCUUCAGGAAAAAUAAUCUAUUUCUGGGAUUAGUCCUCAACAAGCAAGAAGAAGUGCCAUCACUGGUAUGAAACCCAUGCCAGGGGAAGGGAUUCCAUCACUGCCUUUUGAUCAGCAAGUGUAAUCUCCAGUGAUGAUCGUCCCUGUUCAGCAUUCAUCAACAGAAUGCCAUCUUCAGUGCCCCUCUCUAGGCCCUCACUCUGAAUUCUUUCGGUUUUAAGUAAGGAAACAAUCUAUAUGCAUCUAAACAAUUUUUUUCCAAUUUAUUGCUGCUUUGCUAUGACACUGUUUCUAGAUCUUGUUCAUAGUGUUCGAGUUUACAUAGUCUCAGUAUUCACUGAAUAAUAUGAGAGGAUUGGUUGAUGCUACAUAUACAGCCAAGUUUCUACACACUUGCAUCAGUUUGCAGAUAUUUCCAGUUAAAAGAUUGUACUCUGCUCUGAGCUGGGCAUUCUAUUUCUCUGUAAAAAAAUUGCUUGCUUUGUUUGUCAACCCUUGCUUAUUUAUUUUUUGUUCGUUUUGGAUGCAGUAGGUGCCCUCCCUCCAUGGACGAGGAGGACAUUGACCUAGACCUUGACGACGACGUCGUCCACCCCACACAAGGUCGUUGCCACGCAAUAAACUUCUUUUCUUCUUCCAUUCCAAGUUACCUCUGCUCUGUUUCUGCAAUAGACUCAUUGUUCACUAGCUAUAGAUCCCUAUGUUGUUGUUGGUGGUGGUUGGCGAGGUGACGCUGGAAGGCGCGGAGGCGUCGUCGACGAAAGAGAAAAAGAAGAGGACAUACCGUACAGCUGCCCACCACUGCUCACCUCGAUGGCUCGACCACCUCUGCUGUGCCGCAGACGACACAGGGGGAGGCCGAGGUGAUCAUCGACGGUGCUCACCCCGACCCCAUUGGGAUCUAGGGGAAGGGGCUAUGGCGGCAGCGGCACUGGGAGAGGCGGCGGCACUGGGAGAGGCAGCGGCGCUCGGAGAG
Molecule: long non-coding RNA, 2245 nt
Filed under: Triticum aestivum (bread wheat)
Lineage: Eukaryota; Viridiplantae; Streptophyta; Magnoliopsida; Poales; Poaceae
Description: long non-coding RNA (TAES_LNC024926)
Source: RNAcentral